RNAcentral lists this transfer RNA (76 nucleotides) under Candidatus Enterousia excrementavium. RNAcentral describes it as "tRNA-Thr". It matches the Rfam family "tRNA". From Rfam's summary of the family: Transfer RNA (tRNA) molecules are approximately 80 nucleotides in length. Their secondary structure includes four short double-helical elements and three loops (D, anti-codon, and T loops). The record is from RNAcentral. Lineage: Bacteria; Pseudomonadati; Pseudomonadota; Alphaproteobacteria.
GCCGGAUUAGCUCAGUUGGUAGAGCGGCUGAUUUGUAAUCAGUAGGUCGUUGGUUCAAGUCCGACAUCCGGCACCA